This 254-nucleotide ribosomal RNA is filed under the name uncultured bacterium. RNAcentral describes it as "partial 16S ribosomal RNA". It matches the Rfam family "Bacterial small subunit ribosomal RNA", at positions 524 to 776 of the family's 1533-position model. The record is from RNAcentral.
GACGAACCGUGCGAACGUUAUUCGGAAUCACUGGGCUUAAAGCGCGUGUAGGCGGGGCGGCACGUCGGUCGCUGAAAUCCCCCGGCUUAACCGGGGAACUGGCGUCGAUACGACCGCCCUCGAGGGGCGUAGGGGGACCUGGAACUUCCGGUGGAGCGGUGAAAUGCGUUGAGAUCGGAAGGAACGCCCGUGGCGAAAGCGAGGUCCUGGACGCCUACUGACGCUGAGACGCGAAAGCCAGGGGAGCGAACGGG